UUUGCCUGCCGUACGAUAACUUCUGACAUGGCGUGCGAGCAGUGUGUGUGUACGGUGUAGUAUCCUUGUUGUGCUUCAUUUGGCGUCUGUCACUGUGUCGUCCAGACGGCAGUUCCUCUUUGUGUUGCUAGGAAUCAGCCUUCGUGUCAGUCAGAGAGGGAAAGGAAAAAAGAGAUGAAUAGUAACAUGGAAAUGAGUACCAUUGAGGUUCCAACUGUGGAUGGAUAAGAGGAAAGAGGACGAGGUCUCCCAUACUGAACCGAUUUCUUUCCAAUAUUUCCUGGAUCUGGUAGGAACUAGUGGACCCUGGAACUAUCUGGUUUUCCUACUUUGUGCUACAUUGGGACCUCGUCUGCAACAGAAGAUUCCUAUAUUCAACCACCUUCUCUGCCAGUUUCUUCGUCAGGUUGUUCACUUCACCUUUCACAGGUUUCAUCAUUGAUGCGUUUGGUCGCCGAUUGAGUCUGCUAGUGAGCUUGGCUCUGUUCAUACCAA
Macrobrachium nipponense is the source of this 495-nucleotide long non-coding RNA. RefSeq lists it as uncharacterized. NCBI's taxonomy places the organism in Eukaryota, Metazoa, Arthropoda, Malacostraca, Decapoda, Palaemonidae. The record is from RefSeq and is a predicted model, not a curated record. The transcript is spliced from 4 exons.